GCAGAGUAGGCAUAUGCGCGUUAAGUGCCGGCUGAACAGGGAGUUGUCAGCUGGACGAAAGGGGAAGACCCUGCGGUGCAUAAGCCGCAUCCCGCUGC
Molecule: non-coding RNA, 98 nt
Filed under: uncultured Enterocloster sp.
Lineage: Bacteria; Bacillati; Bacillota; Clostridia; Lachnospirales; Lachnospiraceae
Description: THF riboswitch
Rfam family: THF (Tetrahydrofolate) riboswitch aptamer
About the family: THF riboswitch presents a pseudoknot that joins P1-P2 and the loop of P3 and two THF binding.
Source: RNAcentral